This 588-nucleotide ribosomal RNA is filed under the name Salmonella enterica. RNAcentral's name for it is "partial 23S ribosomal RNA". It matches the Rfam family "Bacterial large subunit ribosomal RNA", at positions 1027 to 1616 of the family's 2925-position model. RNAcentral also lists the same sequence under 1 other name. The record is from RNAcentral. Lineage: Bacteria; Pseudomonadati; Pseudomonadota; Gammaproteobacteria; Enterobacterales; Enterobacteriaceae.
CCAGACCGCCAGCUAAGGUCCCAAAGUCAUGGUUAAGUGGGAAACGAUGUGGGAAGGCCCAGACAGCCAGGAUGUUGGCUUAGAAGCAGCCAUCAUUUAAAGAAAGCGUAAUAGCUCACUGGUCGAGUCGGCCUGCGCGGAAGAUGUAACGGGGCUAAACCAUGCACCGAAGCUGCGGCAGCGACACUGUGUGUUGUUGGGUAGGGGAGCGUUCUGUAAGCCUGUGAAGGUGUGUCGUGAGGCAUGCUGGAGGUAUCAGAAGUGCGAAUGCUGACAUAAGUAACGAUAAAGCGGGUGAAAAGCCCGCUCGCCGGAAGACCAAGGGUUCCUGUCCAACGUUAAUCGGGGCAGGGUGAGUCGACCCCUAAGGCGAGGCCGAAAGGCGUAGUCGAUGGGAAACGGGUUAAUAUUCCCGUACUUGGUGUUACUGCGAAGGGGGGACGGAGAAGGCUAUGUUGGCCGGGCGACGGUUGUCCCGGUUUAAGCGUGUAGGUGUGUGUUCCAGGUAAAUCCGGUUCACUUUAACACUGAGGCGUGACGACGAGGCACUACGGUGCUGAAGCAACAAAUGCCCUGCUUCCAGGAAAA